This 1372-nucleotide ribosomal RNA is filed under the name uncultured prokaryote. Its description in RNAcentral is "partial 16S ribosomal RNA". It matches the Rfam family "Bacterial small subunit ribosomal RNA", at positions 29 to 1395 of the family's 1533-position model. The record is from RNAcentral.
UUGAACGCUGGCGGCAGGCCUAACACAUGCAAGUCGAGCGCGAAAGCCCUUCGGGGUGAGUAAAGCGGCGGACGGGUGAGUAACGCGUAGGAAUCUACCCAGUGGUGGGGGACAACCUGGGGAAACCCAGGCUAAUACCGCAUACGCCCCAGGGGGGAAAGCGGGGGCUCUUCGGACCUCGCGCCAUUGGAUGAGCCUGCGUUGGAUUAGCUAGUUGGUGGGGUAAAGGCCUACCAAGGCGACGAUCCAUAGCUGGUCUGAGAGGACGAUCAGCCACACUGGGACUGAGACACGGCCCAGACUCCUACGGGAGGCAGCAGUGGGGAAUAUUGCACAAUGGGCGAAAGCCUGAUGCAGCAAUGCCGCGUGUGUGAAGAAGGCCUGCGGGUUGUAAAGCACUUUCAAUUGGGAAGAAAGGUUAAUGGUUAAUACCCGUUGAUCUUGACGUUACCUUUAGAAGAAGCACCGGCUAACUCCGUGCCAGCAGCCGCGGUAAUACGGAGGGUGCAAGCGUUAAUCGGAUUUACUGGGCGUAAAGCGCGCGUAGGCGGUAUUGUAAGUGGGAUGUGAAAGCCCCGGGCUCAACCUGGGAACAGCAUUCCAAACUGCAAAACUAGAGUAUGGUAGAGGGAAGUGGAAUUUCAGGUGUAGCGGUGAAAUGCGUAGAGAUCUGAAGGAACACCAGUGGCGAAGGCGACUUCCUGGACCAAUACUGACGCUGAGGUGCGAAAGCGUGGGGAGCAAAAAGGAUUAGAUACCCGGGUAGUCCACGCCGUAAACGAUGGCAACGAGCCGGGGGAGAGCUGAGGAUCGGUAGGGGCGAAGCUAACGCGAUAAGUUGACCGCCUGGGGAGUACGGUCGCAAGAUUAAAACUCAAAUGAAUUGACGGGGGCCCGCACAAGCGGUGGAGCAUGUGGUUUAAUUCAAAACUACGCGAAGAACCUUACCAGGUCUUGACAUCCAGAGAACUUACUAGAGAUAGUUUGGUGCCUUCUUCGGGAACUCUGAGACAGGUGCUGCAUGUCUGUCGUCAGCUCGUGUCGUGAGAUGUUGGGUUAAGUCCCGUAACGAGCGCAACCCUUGUUCUUAGUUGCCAGCGGGUAAUGCCGGGGACUCUAGGAAGACAAUCCACCAUUGGUGGAGGGAAGGGGGGGAUGACGUCAAGUCAGUAUGGCCCUUACGGCCAGGGCUGCACACGUGCUACAAUGCCUAGUACAAAAGGACGCAAUACCGCGAGGUGGAGCAAAUCCCCAAAACUAGGCCCAGUUCGGAUUGGAGUCUGCAACUCGACUCCAUGAAGUCGGAAUCGCUAGUAAUGGCGUAUCAGCAAUGACGCCGUGAAUACGUUCCCGGGCCUUGCACACACCGCCC